CUACGGGCUGCUGCAGGCGAGAAAACUUUGCAAUGUGCGAAAGCACGACAAGGUUAAUCCGAGUGGUUUCUGCUAAAGGAACCUUUUGUCGGUCCUAGAAACACCGAUGAAUAAGGGGUGGGCAAGUUCUGGUGUCAGCCGCCGCGGUAAAACCAGCACCUCAAGUGGUCAGGAUGAUUAUUGGGCCUAAAGCAUCCGUAGCCGGCUCUGUAAGUUUUCGGUUAAAUCUGUACGCUUAACGUACAGGCUGCCGGGAAUACUGCAUAGCUAGGGAAUGGGAGAGGUAGACGGUACUCGGUAGGAAGGGGUAAAAUCCUUUGAUCUAUUGAUGACCACCUGUGGCGAAGGCGGUCUACCAGAACACGUCCGACGGUGAGGGAUGAAAGCUGGGGGAGCAAACCGGAUUAGAUACCCUCGUAGUC
RNAcentral lists this ribosomal RNA (422 nucleotides) under uncultured archaeon. Its description in RNAcentral is "partial 16S ribosomal RNA". It matches the Rfam family "Archaeal small subunit ribosomal RNA", at positions 323 to 746 of the family's 1478-position model. The record is from RNAcentral.